GGUGAACGCUGGCGGCGUGCUUAACACAUGCAAGUCGAACGAGAACGGGUUAUAGCUUGCUAUAAUUGUCAGCUAAGUGGCGCACGGGUGAGUAAUGUAUAGGUAUAUGCCUCUUACUAAGGGAUAACAAAUGGAAACGUUUGCUAAUACCUUAUACUCCUUAUUAAUAUAAGUUAAUAAGGGAAAGAUUUAUUGGUAAGAGAUUAGCCUGUAUUGUAUCAGUUAGUUGGUGGGGUAAUGGCUUACCAAGACUAUGACACUUAACUGGUUUGAGAGGAUGAUCAGUCACGCUGGAACUGAGACACGGUCCAGACUCCUACGGGAGGCAGCAGUGGGGAAUAUUGCACAAUGGACGAAAGUCUGAUGCAGCAACGCCGCGUGGAGGAUGACACAUUUCGGUGCGUAAACUCCUUUUAUAUGAGAAGAUAAUGACGGUAUUAUAUGAAUAAGCACCGGCUAACUCCGUGCCAGCCGCCGCCGUAA
This 483-nucleotide ribosomal RNA is filed under the name uncultured bacterium. RNAcentral's name for it is "partial 16S ribosomal RNA". It matches the Rfam family "Bacterial small subunit ribosomal RNA", at positions 28 to 523 of the family's 1533-position model. The record is from RNAcentral.